CCUACGGGAGGCAGCAGUAGGGAAUUUUGCGCAAUGGGCGAAAGCCUGACGCAGCAACACCGCGUGAAUGUUGAGCCCUUCGUGGUGUAAAGUUCUGUCAAUAGGGACGAUUUUUUGCUUUACCUAUAAAGUAAGCACCGUCUAACUCCGUUCCAGCAGCCGCGGUAAUACGGGGGGUGCAGGCGUUGUCCGGAAUCAUUGGGCGUAAAGCGUUCGUAGGCGGCAAGGUAGGUCUGAUGUUAAAGCCCGGGGCUCAACUCCGGUUCGGCAUUGGAUACUAGCUAGCUAGAAUGUGGUAGAGGUAAAGGGAAUUCGUGGUGUAGCGGUGAAAUGCGUAGAUAUCAGGAGGAACAUCGGUGGCGAAAGCGCUUUACUGGACCAUUAUUGACGCUGAGGAACGAAAGCCAGGGGAGCAAAUGGGAUUAGAUACCCGAGUAGUC
Molecule: ribosomal RNA, 440 nt
Filed under: uncultured bacterium
Lineage: Bacteria
Description: partial 16S ribosomal RNA
Rfam family: Bacterial small subunit ribosomal RNA
Source: RNAcentral